UGAAAGAUUCGAACCUGCUGCGGGUUCGAGCCGAACGAAGUGAGGCACCGGAGCCUCUGGCGACGGCCCGGAGGGUGAGCGAUGCGAAUCAUCCUGCACGACCCACCA
Molecule: small RNA, 108 nt
Filed under: Lelliottia amnigena
Lineage: Bacteria; Pseudomonadati; Pseudomonadota; Gammaproteobacteria; Enterobacterales; Enterobacteriaceae
Description: RtT RNA
Rfam family: RtT RNA
About the family: This family represents a bacterial cis-regulatory element known as RtT RNA. The exact function of RtT is unknown although it is thought that it may be involved in changing the cellular response in relation to amino acid starvation.
Source: RNAcentral